AUACUUACCUGACAGGGGUGACACCAUGAUCACAAAGGUGAUUUUCCAUUGCACUCUAGAUGUGCAUUUUCCCUAAAUAUGGGAAACUUGACUGCAUAAUUUGUGGUAGUUGGAAACUGCAUUGACGCUGUCCCCUA
This 137-nucleotide small nuclear RNA is filed under the name Dasypus novemcinctus (nine-banded armadillo). RNAcentral describes it as "U1 spliceosomal RNA (ENSDNOG00000043567.1)". It matches the Rfam family "U1 spliceosomal RNA". From Rfam's summary of the family: U1 is a small nuclear RNA (snRNA) component of the spliceosome (involved in pre-mRNA splicing). Lineage: Eukaryota; Metazoa; Chordata; Mammalia; Cingulata; Dasypodidae. The record is from RNAcentral.